UCUUUUUAUCAUCUGAUAGCACCUGACAGCAUUGUACUUCAGAAUUCAAACGACAAUAUGAGAAAUUCAAAAACUUUAACUGCAAAACAUAAUUCAAGGGCCAAUUUCGCCCAUUAUCUCUCAACUUAGGUAAUUAUUUCAUUAUUGUCACUCAACUUUAAUUUUUUUAUUAAAAAUCCGUGAACUUACAUUUGAGUAAUAAUAAAGUCAUUGUAACAAGAUAUUACAAGCUUCCAAGUUAACUUGCUGACCUGGCCGCAUUUUGCAAAAAAAGGGAGAAAAAUUACCUUACUAUCCUUCCACCUACACACACUGCCCUUCUCUUUUCUCUCUCUUCUCUACCCCUCUCGGUCUCUCCACUUUCCCUUCGGCCUGCUCUUUCACCACUGCCACCCAGCCCCACCAACAUUGACACCAACUCCUCACCCUCCAGAGACCCUCCUUUGAAUCCAGAAAUGCAUAGUGGCAUUGAUUUGGAGUAAACCAUCAGCGCAAAGAGAAGAAUACUAAUAGCAACCCGCAAAGAAGAAUCAGUCGGAUUCGGGUGUCCCAAUGUUUGAUGAACGUGGCACCACCUCCCUACCCUCCAUCAACCCUCCCCCAGCCCUCACAACACCCAGUAGUGUUUAUUUGGAGCAAAAAGGGGAGAAUGCAACCUGAGAAGAAGACCUGCCUGGACUCCUGUAUUCCCAACGUUAGAUGGACGCAAUACCACCACCAAUCGACUCCUCUUCUCUUGGGCAUCAUUCUGACCACCCUCAGCCUCUACCAUCUCCAUAAACACAAGAAUCGAAGAAAAAGCAUUUCGGCCGUCUAUCUUCAAUUAUUCCAUUUUCGGCAAUGGUAGGGGCAAGUGUUGGUUGAAAAAAAGAUGCCUAAGAGGAAAGGAGUCAAUUGGUGGUGGUCUUGUGUCUAUCCAUGUCAAGAAUGUCAAACUCCAGCCAGAGGUGAUGGGGAGAGCAAAGAGGAGAGAGAGAGAGAGAG
RNAcentral lists this unclassified non-coding RNA (984 nucleotides) under Hevea brasiliensis (rubber tree). Lineage: Eukaryota; Viridiplantae; Streptophyta; Magnoliopsida; Malpighiales; Euphorbiaceae. The record is from RNAcentral.